This 526-nucleotide ribosomal RNA is filed under the name uncultured Ralstonia sp. RNAcentral describes it as "bacterial SSU rRNA". It matches the Rfam family "Bacterial small subunit ribosomal RNA", at positions 46 to 561 of the family's 1533-position model. Lineage: Bacteria; Pseudomonadati; Pseudomonadota; Betaproteobacteria; Burkholderiales; Burkholderiaceae. The record is from RNAcentral.
GCCUUACACAUGCAAGUCGAACGGCAGCAUGAUCUAGCUUGCUAGAUUGAUGGCGAGUGGCGAACGGGUGAGUAAUACAUCGGAACGUGCCCUGUAGUGGGGGAUAACUAGUCGAAAGAUUAGCUAAUACCGCAUGCGACCUGAGGGUGAAAGUGGGGGACCGCAAGGCCUCAUGCUAUAGGAGCGGCCGAUGUCUGAUUAGCUAGUUGGUGGGGUAAAGGCCCACCAAGGCGACGAUCAGUAGCUGGUCUGAGAGGACGAUCAGCCACACUGGGACUGAGACACGGCCCAGACUCCUACGGGAGGCAGCAGUGGGGAAUUUUGGACAAUGGGCGAAAGCCUGAUCCAGCAAUGCCGCGUGUGUGAAGAAGGCCUUCGGGUUGUAAAGCACUUUUGUCCGGAAAGAAAUGGCUCUGGUUAAUACCUGGGGUCGAUGACGGUACCGGAAGAAUAAGGACCGGCUAACUACGUGCCAGCAGCCGCGGUAAUACGUAGGGUCCAAGCGUUAAUCGGAAUUACUGGGCGU